UUUGUUGAGUUUGCUUAAAUGUAUUAACUAAAUGUCAAGAUGAGGUAGAAGAUCAUUUGCUUUUGAAAGAUAUAUUAAAAAGUUACUCCAAGUGGAUUUAAUAUAGUGAGCAAUUUGAUUUCAUGAUGCCAAAUUUUGGAAAUCAAGCAAUUGGGAGUACUAAUUCCUAUUAAAGAACAAUUGGGAGUACUUAUUAAUGGU
Molecule: long non-coding RNA, 201 nt
Filed under: Durio zibethinus
Lineage: Eukaryota; Viridiplantae; Streptophyta; Magnoliopsida; Malvales; Malvaceae
Description: long non-coding RNA (DZIB_LNC002007)
Source: RNAcentral